ACGCUGGCGGCGUGCCUAAUACAUGCAAGUCGAGCGUAGUUUUUCUGGUGCUUGCACCGGAAAAACUUAGCGGCGAACGGGUGAGUAACACGUAAAGAACCUGCCUCAUAGACUGGGACAACUAUUGGAAACGAUAGCUAAUACCGGAUAACAGCAUUAACUGCAUGGUUGAUGUUUAAAAGUUGGUUUUGCUAACACUAUGAGAUGGCUUUGCGGUGCAUUAGCUAGUUGGUGGGGUAAAGGCCUACCAAGGCGACGAUGCAUAGCCGACCUGAGAGGGUGAUCGGCCACACUGGGACUGAGACACGGCCCAGACUCCUACGGGAGGCAGCAGUAGGGAAUCUUCCGCAAUGGGCGAAAGCCUGACGGAGCAACGCCGCGUGAGUGAAGAAGGAUUUCGGUUCGUAAAGCUCUGUUGUUAGGGAAGAAUGAUUGUGUAGUAACUAUACACAGUAGAGACGGUACCUAACCAGAAAGCCACGGCUAACUACGUGCCAGCAGCCGCGGUAAUACGUAGGUGGCAAGCGUUGUCCGGAAUUAUUGGGCGUAAAGCGCGCGCAGGUGGUUUAAUAAGUCUGAUGUGAAAGCCCACGGCUCAACCGUGGAGGGUCAUUGGAAACUGUUAAACUUGAGUGCAGGAGAGAAAAGUGGAAUUCCUAGUGUAGCGGUGAAAUGCGUAGAGAUUAGGAGGAACACCAGUGGCGAAGGCGGCUUUUUGGCCUGUAACUGACACUGAGGCGCGAAAGCGUGGGGAGCAAACAGGAUUAGAUACCCUGGUAGUCCACGCCGUAAACGAUGAGUGCUAAGUGUUGGUCUCAUAAGAGAUCAGUGCUGCAGCUAACGCAUUAAGCACUCCGCCUGGGGAGUACGACCGCAAGGUUGAAACUCAAAGGAAUUGACGGGGACCCG
RNAcentral lists this ribosomal RNA (909 nucleotides) under uncultured bacterium. Its description in RNAcentral is "bacterial SSU rRNA". It matches the Rfam family "Bacterial small subunit ribosomal RNA", at positions 33 to 923 of the family's 1533-position model. The record is from RNAcentral.